Molecule: long non-coding RNA, 3144 nt
Organism: Capra hircus (goat)
Lineage: Eukaryota; Metazoa; Chordata; Mammalia; Artiodactyla; Bovidae
Exons: 7
Source: RefSeq, a predicted model, not a curated record
AGGUUCCGCUCUUUUCUCUGAGGCGAAGCGGCUGACUCCUCAUGCUCAGGCCUUGACACGCUCCGCGGGAGCUGGGCCUGAGGACGACCUGAGAGACCGAUGUAGCGCUGUCACCAAGCCCGCGCAUUCCCAUUACCAGCCGUCAGGCUUUGAACUAGUGUGCCUCGCCGCACGCUCCUCCUUCGCACGGCCCGUUUCUGAGACGAAUUCUCUUCAGGGGCCAGACAGGCCAGACGUAGAUGAACCUCUGAGGGAACGCAGUUUAGGUUUCAGAUGCACCCGAGGUUACGGGAAUGAGAGCAGCCUGGGAGUCCUGGCUGAGAAUAGUCCUCAGGUUGUGACAGGAAAGCCAAAACAAGAAGCAGUCGAAGAAACUUCGGCUGUGGCCUGCCUGAAAGGGCGGCAUUCCACCACAUACUUUUAACACAUAGUUUAAGAGAAUUUAGCACUUACUGUGCUGAAUGCUAGGGAAAUACGGUGAAUUCUUUUUAAAAAAUCUGGUCUCUAAGGACACUGUUCCUCCAUUCCAGCUUCCCAUUUCCCAGCUGGUACCUUGGACAGUAUCACCGUAAGAGGUUGCACCGUCGCCAAAAACCGCCAAAGCAGGAUCCAGAAGGGUCAGAAGUUGCUGAGACAAGAAAAACAAUUUUACCGGAAUUACCAGUUUUCGUGACUUCAAGAUUCCAUCUAAUCCUAAGUAUUUUAAAUGAUUUGUUGGUACAGUUGUUUCUCUUAAAAGCAGUGAAGGUAACUGGAUUACUGAACAGUCUGAUGGAACCAUCAGCAUGUGACUGAAGGAGGCAGAUGUUCUUGGUUAAUCUUAACACGCCAGUGAAUGUCCUUCCUACCUAAUGGAAGGUGACACCUGCUGGGACUCUUCCGCAUCGAGAUGGGGGAUACUGAUACAACAACUGCCAGCUGCAAGCACCAUGCUAGUGUGUUUAUUCAAUUUAGUGAGCACCUUCCGCAGCAAAGUCCAGGUACUAGACACUGUGGCAGAUUGAUCAUGCUCCUAACAUGUUGAGCAUGAAAUGCGAAAGAGGAAAAACUGUGCAAAUGGAAGAUGUCUGCUAGCAGAGUUUAAUAUUACAUAGAUGCUUUGGAAUUUUCUCUGACAUUUAUUCUUAGAACUUGGAAGACAUCCUGAGGCGUGAUUUGAGGCUUUUACAUUGCGUAAUGCCUUGAAAAUGUAACACUUCAAAGCAGUGAGGAAAGGGACAUUUAUGGCUCUCCUGUUCUGUGCGGAGCACUUUGCUAAAUCCUGUAUCAUUCCUAUUUCCAAUAUGAGGAAAUUUAGGCUCAGAGAAAUGUAUAAGUUUGUUCAACCACACAGCCUUUGAUGGUGGAGCUGAAAUGGAAACCCACAUUUCACCAAUGACCAGAUUCAUCCUUACUCUUUCCUUCUGUAAUAUAAUGCUGCUGCUCAAAAACUGCCCUUAAAUUGUAAAAUUUCCAAAGCUAUAUACUUAUAUUAUUUUGACAAGUUUAACCUGACACUAAAUGGUCCUAGAAAUGAUGUCUUGAUUUUCUAGUAUACUAUAUAGUAUAUCUAUUAAUAGGAUUAAACUUUAAGAUUGCUUCAUUAACUGUAUAAACAAUGCCACUAAGUGAAAAAUAUUUUCUAACUCAAUAUGUAUAUAUUGUAUCCUAGAAAAUGAGCUAAUAAUGUAAAUUUCAGUAUCUGUACAACUUCUCUUAAAAUGAACUUUUUUGUUUAUGAUUUUAAAACAUUUUUCAGAUAUGGUAUAUUAAUUAGAUGGAGCAUAAAUCUGAAACUGCUGUCAGAGUCAUCUAAGUGUGGAGCGUGGCCAAGAACUUUGGAACCAGAAUGACCAAGUUUAAAUCCCAGCUCUACCACCUUUUAGCUGUGUGUUCCUGGGCAAGCUACUUUACCUCUCUGGGCCUCAUUUUUCUGCUAAUAAAGUGGAGAUGAUAAUAUAAGCUAGUCUCGAGUAUUUUGGUGAGGAUGCGAUGUGUUAACAUAUGUAAAGCACAUACCAGUACCUAUAUGAAUAUUGGCUACAGUCACUGGGUGAAUUGCAGAUACAUUAUUUGAUGAUAUCUAAAAUCUUAAAUGUGUCACUUUCGCAGGUAUGGCUUAUGGACAAUUAAAGCUAAAUACAAAGAGGACUUUACAACAAUAGGAACUGCAUAUUUUGAGAUUAAAAAUCUUGGUAAUCUCUCAUAAAUUACUGAGAUUUCUAAUGUAUGUUUUUACUAAACCAUUCUCAACAACUUUGUUGACCAAGAACUCAUUAAGAAAUAAAGGGCACUGAGGGGUGGGGACAGAGGUGACCUGGGAGUCAGGCCACAGACCCGGGAUUCACGGCCCGGCUCACCUCAGUUCAGUUACGGACUCUCUGGACCCUAUUUUCUUAUCGUUCUGCAAAGGUCAAGUCCUAUAAGAAGGUAGGAUCAGAUAAUGUUCUUGCAAGAUCCAUGGUUCUUUGACUGUCUUCAGGAUGACCUAGUCUGAGCUCCUCAUCUAAAGAUGAGUCCAGUUGAUUGAUGGAGUUGCACAAAUCAUUUUUAACACAUCAGAAGCAAUUGAAAACCUGUCAUAUAUAAGUCUAAAAGAGUUAAAUAACAAGUAUCUUAGUAUUUUUGUGGAAGUCCAAGAAAGUACAGUCACUGGAUCUGGUUGCUACUUCACUUUUCCUGAAACCUGGGAUUCCAUAUUCCAUAAAGGUUACUGCUGCUGCUGCUGCUGGUUAGAACUGAUGACCCAGACCUUCCAGAAGAAUAUCAGGCCAGCAAUGACUAUCAAGCAAUAGCCUACUCAUCACACAGCCAGAGUUUCCCUUCGCUUAGCUGGACAGACAGUUACAAGAGUUUGCUUGUGGGAGAACAUCUGAGCAUAACGGUUACCCCUAAAAGUCCAUGUGUUGGCAAGAUUACACACUACAAUUACGUGAUGUCCUCUAAGGGCAGAGUUGUACGCUUCGGCACAGAGAGGAAACUCCCAGGUUCAUCUUAGCCACCUCUAAGCCUUUCCGUGACUCCGCACAUGGUUCCUGCCGCCUGUGCGCUGGCCUACUAUCUCGCCACGGGAAAGCAGCAGCAGCAGGGGCGUCUGACCCACGCUGCCUACACGCUGCUGAAGAAAAGUGAGGCAGCCAGCCCCAGUUAAUUUCAGAUCUGCUG